RNAcentral lists this ribosomal RNA (888 nucleotides) under uncultured bacterium. Its description in RNAcentral is "bacterial SSU rRNA". It matches the Rfam family "Bacterial small subunit ribosomal RNA", at positions 101 to 998 of the family's 1533-position model. The record is from RNAcentral.
AACGGGUGAGUAAUACGUGAGUGACCUGCCUUUGACUCUGGGAUAAGCCUGGGAAACUGGGUCUAAUACCGGAUGCGACUACUGCCCGCAUGGGCUGGUGGUGGAAAGGGUUAUGUACUGGUCUUAGAUGGGCUCACGGCCUAUCAGCUGGUUGGUGGGGUAAUGGCCUACCAAGGCGACGACGGGUAGCCGGCCUGAGAGGGUGACCGGCCACACUGGGACUGAGACACGGCCCAGACUCCUACGGGAGGCAGCAGUGGGGAAUAUUGCACAAUGGGCGCAAGCCUGAUGCAGCGACGCCGCGUGAGGGAUGACGGCCUUCGGGUUGUAACCUCUUUCAGCAGGGAAGAAGCGGAAGUGACGGUACCUGCAGAAGAAGCGCCGGCUAACUACGUGCCAGCAGCCGCGGUAAUACGUAGGGCGCAAGCGUUGUCCGGAAUUAUUGGGCGUAAAGAGCUCGUAGGCGGCUUGUCGCGUCUGCUGUGAAAGCCCGGGGCUUAACUCCGGGUGUGCAGUGGGUACGGGCAGGCUAGAGUGCAGUAGGGGUAACUGGAAUUCCUGGUGUAGCGGUGAAAUGCGCAGAUAUCAGGAGGAACACCGAUGGCGAAGGCAGGUUACUGGGCUGUUACUGACGCUGAGGAGCGAAAGCAUGGGGAGCGAAUAGGAUUAGAUACCCUGGUAGUCCAUGCCGUAAACGUUGGGCACUAGGUGUGGGGGACAUUCCACGUUUUCCGCGCCGUAGCUAACGCAUUAAGUGCCCCGCCUGGGGAGUACGGCCGCAAGGCUAAAACUCAAAGGAAUUGACGGGGGCCCGCACAAGCGGCGGAGCAUGCGGAUUAAUUCGAUGCAACGCGAAGAACCUUACCAAGGCUGACAUACACCGGAUCG